UGUAAGUGCUAUGAGGCAUUGAUCUAACUGAUACUAAUUGCCCGUUAAGCUUAACCAUACAACACCCAAGGGGUUU
Molecule: ribosomal RNA, 76 nt
Filed under: Vibrio parahaemolyticus
Lineage: Bacteria; Pseudomonadati; Pseudomonadota; Gammaproteobacteria; Vibrionales; Vibrionaceae
Description: partial 23S ribosomal RNA
Source: RNAcentral